AUUCCAGCUCCAAUAGCGUAUAUUAAAGUUGUUGCAGUUAGAACGCUCGUAGUCGGAUUUCGGGGCGGGUCGACCGGUCUGCCGAUGGGUACGCACUGGCCGACGCGUCCUUCCUUCCGGAGACCGUCUCACUCUUAACUGAGCGGAGGCGGGAGACGGAACGUUUACUUUGAAAAAAUCAGAGUGUUUCAAGCAGGCAGCUCGCUCUUGCAUGGAUUAGCAUGGGAUAAUGAAAUAGGACUUUGGUGCUAUUUUGUUGGUUUCGAACACCGAAGUAAUGAUGAGCAGGGACAGUCAGGGGCACUCGUAUUCCGCCGAGAGAGGUGAAAUUCUCAGACCAGCGGAAGACGAACUACUGCGAAAGCAUUUGCCAGGGAUGUUUUCAUCG
Molecule: ribosomal RNA, 388 nt
Filed under: Chrysochromulina sp.
Lineage: Eukaryota; Haptophyta; Prymnesiales; Chrysochromulinaceae
Description: partial small subunit ribosomal RNA
Rfam family: Eukaryotic small subunit ribosomal RNA
Source: RNAcentral